Molecule: long non-coding RNA, 629 nt
Filed under: Helianthus annuus (common sunflower)
Lineage: Eukaryota; Viridiplantae; Streptophyta; Magnoliopsida; Asterales; Asteraceae
Source: RNAcentral
CCUAUUUAAAAAAAAAAAAUAAACAUAAAAACCCUAACCUAAAAUAAUAGCCGCACACCACGCACUUCUCCAUGCCUCUUCUUCAUCUCCGACGGCCGGAAGUUCCGGUGCCCCUUUCACCAACCGUAGCACACCCUCAUACAUUUACAACCCUCCUUCAUUCUAUUUGAUCAAGCCCUCACAAGACCCCAUCUCCCCUUAUCUUGUUCCCACACGCACACCCCUGCACAGUAGAGAUAGAGAGAGAGAGAGAGAGCAAAGAUAGAACCGGCGACGACCGGAGACGCCGCUCAUGUCCGCAGUGACGGCGUUUUCUCCUUCUCCGAUGGUGAUAAAGCUGUGAAGACGCUGAUUCAGCAACAGAUUUUGAGCGGGUUCGAGCUCGGUUCGGACUUGGGUUCGAAUCACGGAUGUUUCGGGUUUGUUCCGGGUCUCGGUUCAGAAAAGGAAGUAGCAGGACGUGAUUGACCUACCUUGACUGUUAACCAUUUUUAAGAGACCAACCGAGCAAACCAAAGGUAAUUAUUGAAGGAACUUGGGAGCUUGCUGUCUGAUGCUGCUGGAGUGGUUGUGGUCAUAAUAAACAGUUAUUUUGAUUUGGUUUUGAUACAUUUACACACUUAUACAUU